This is a long non-coding RNA of Canis lupus familiaris (dog), 664 nucleotides long. RefSeq lists it as uncharacterized. The transcript is spliced from 3 exons. NCBI's taxonomy places the organism in Eukaryota, Metazoa, Chordata, Mammalia, Carnivora, Canidae. The record is from RefSeq and is a predicted model, not a curated record.
GUUCCCAGGGUGCAUUCACAUUUUAUCCAUCUGCUUCCCCAUAACAGACACACUGACACAUGACCCAAUCCAGUCCUGUUUCGAAUAAGACAACUUGAGUUGGAUUUCCAUCACAUCCAGCUGAAAAGCAUACUGAGUAAUACAGUGAGUGGACACUGGUCACAGAUUCAGGACCCACUCUAAUCCAGGAUGAUGACAUCUUGAGAUCCUUACCAGCAAAGACCCUCCUAUCAGUACUGGGGUUAGGACUGGGACAGAUCUUUGGCGGAGGGGACACUAGUCAACUCCCUAUAAGGGCAUCAACAAUAUCCCCACCAGUCUUGGCCUCAGGAGAGCAAGCCUAAGCCUCAGUGGUUUAAUUGAUAAGGAAAGACCACCUACUCCCAACUGAAGUCCCUAAAACAUAGAUAGCUCUGCUUUAGGGUUGGCCUGAUUUCCAGCACUUCCAUCCAGCACCUGAAGGGGAAGUUUCUGGAAGCAAAUGGUCCAGAAACAGGUUUUUCUCCAACACAGCAAAGCAGCCCAAACCUUAAUCAUCCUCUCAAUUUUUGCAAUGAUGUCCAUGUCCACAAGUCAUUUAAUUAAUGUUUUACCACUCAUCUAGUGCUACUACUUUCACUUGGAUUUAUUUUUUUUUUAAUUCAGCCUCAUCCAAAGCAAUAAU